GCAUCUCGCUUACACCGAGAAUAUACCUGUGACACCCAGAUCAUUUUGA
This 49-nucleotide transfer RNA is filed under the name Microhyla heymonsi (Taiwan rice frog). RNAcentral describes it as "partial tRNA-Val". The record is from RNAcentral. Lineage: Eukaryota; Metazoa; Chordata; Amphibia; Anura; Microhylidae.